GCAGUCGUGGCCGAGUGGUUAAGGCGAUGGGCUAGAAAACCACUGGGGCCUCCCCGUACAGGUUCGAAUCCUGUCGACGGAC
RNAcentral lists this transfer RNA (82 nucleotides) under Ixodes scapularis (black-legged tick). It matches the Rfam family "tRNA". Rfam says of the family: Transfer RNA (tRNA) molecules are approximately 80 nucleotides in length. Their secondary structure includes four short double-helical elements and three loops (D, anti-codon, and T loops). Lineage: Eukaryota; Metazoa; Arthropoda; Arachnida; Ixodida; Ixodidae. The record is from Rfam by way of RNAcentral.